RNAcentral lists this ribosomal RNA (69 nucleotides) under Streptomyces sp. SID5594. Its description in RNAcentral is "partial 23S ribosomal RNA". The record is from RNAcentral. Lineage: Bacteria; Bacillati; Actinomycetota; Actinomycetes; Kitasatosporales; Streptomycetaceae.
CCAGAUGUGGAAGCCCUGUAAGGGGUGGAGCUGACUGGUACUAAUAGGCCGAGGGCUUGUCCUCAGUUG